This 460-nucleotide ribosomal RNA is filed under the name Lancefieldella parvula. RNAcentral's name for it is "bacterial SSU rRNA". It matches the Rfam family "Bacterial small subunit ribosomal RNA", at positions 29 to 502 of the family's 1533-position model. The record is from RNAcentral. Lineage: Bacteria; Bacillati; Actinomycetota; Coriobacteriia; Coriobacteriales; Atopobiaceae.
AUGAACGCUGGCGGCGCGCCUAACACAUGCAAGUCGAACGAUUAAAGCACCUUCGGGUGUGUAUAAAGUGGCGAACGGCUGAGUAACACGUGGGCAACCUGCCCCUCUCAUUGGGAUAGCCACGGGAAACCGUGGAUAAUACCGAAUACUUCGGGACUUCCGCAUGGAAGACUCGAGAAAGCUCCGGCGGAGAGGGAUGGGCCCGCGGCCUGUUAGCUUGUUGGUGGGGUAACGGCCUACCAAGGCAAUGAUGGGUAGCUGGGUUGAGAGACCGACCAGCCAGAUUGGGACUGAGACACGGCCCAGACUCCUACGGGAGGCAGCAGUGGGGAAUCUUGCACAAUGGGCGAAAGCCUGAUGCAGCGACGCCGCGUGCGGGAUGAAGGCCUUCGGGUUGUAAACCGCUUUCAGCAGGGACGAGGCGAAAGUGACGGUACCUGCAGAAGAAGCCCGGCUAAUA